RNAcentral lists this transfer RNA (72 nucleotides) under Camelus bactrianus (Bactrian camel). It matches the Rfam family "tRNA". Rfam says of the family: Transfer RNA (tRNA) molecules are approximately 80 nucleotides in length. The record is from Rfam by way of RNAcentral. RNAcentral also lists the same sequence under 1 other name. Lineage: Eukaryota; Metazoa; Chordata; Mammalia; Artiodactyla; Camelidae.
GUGGGUACAGCUCAGUGGUAGAGCACAUGCUUAGCAUACAUGAGGUCUUGGGUUCAAUCCCCAGCAUCUCCA